Molecule: ribosomal RNA, 497 nt
Filed under: uncultured bacterium
Lineage: Bacteria
Description: partial 16S ribosomal RNA
Rfam family: Bacterial small subunit ribosomal RNA
Source: RNAcentral
GAUGAACGCUGGCGGCGUGCCUAAUACAUGCAAGUCGAGCGAACGGACGAGAAGCUUGCUUUUCUGAUGUUAGCGGCGGACGGGUGAGUAACACGUGGAUAACCUACCUAUAAGACUGGGAUAACUUCGGGAAACCGGAGCUAAUACCGGAUAAUAUUUUGAACCGCAUGGUUCAAAAGUGAAAGACGGUCUUGCUGUCACUUAUAGAUGGAUCCGCGCUGCAUUAGCUAGUUGGUAAGGUAACGGCUUACCAAGGCAACGAUGCAUAGCCGACCUGAGAGGGUGAUCGGCCACACUGGAACUGAGACACGGUCCAGACUCCCACGGGAGGCAGCAGUAGGGAAUCUUCCGCAAUGGGCGAAAGCCUGACGGAGCAACGCCGCGCGAGUGAUGAAGGUCUUCGGAUCGUAAAACUCUGUUAUUAGGGAAGAACAUAUGUGUAAGUAACUGUGCACAUCUUGACGGUACCUAAUCAGAAAGCCACGGCUAACUACGUG